Molecule: ribosomal RNA, 119 nt
Filed under: Pteropus alecto (black flying fox)
Lineage: Eukaryota; Metazoa; Chordata; Mammalia; Chiroptera; Pteropodidae
Source: RNAcentral
GUCUAUGGCCACGCUACCCUGAACAGGUUCGAUCUCUUCUGAUCUCGGAAGCUAAGCAGAGUUGGGCCUGGUUAUUACUUGGAUGGGAGACCACCUAGGAAGACCAGGUGCUGUAGGUG